GAUAAAGAGAGGAAUCAAACCCCCUUAGAUAGGACUACAGCCUACUGCCUAACAUUCGGCCACUUUACC
Molecule: transfer RNA, 69 nt
Filed under: Anolis agassizi
Lineage: Eukaryota; Metazoa; Chordata; Lepidosauria; Squamata; Anolidae
Description: tRNA-Tyr
Source: RNAcentral